RNAcentral lists this long non-coding RNA (1396 nucleotides) under Macaca mulatta (Rhesus monkey). Its description in RNAcentral is "lncRNA (ENSMMUG00000054277.1)". The record is from RNAcentral. Lineage: Eukaryota; Metazoa; Chordata; Mammalia; Primates; Cercopithecidae.
CCCGGCAAGGAUUUUACACAGAGACAAGUCUUUAAAGGCUCUCCAGGCCUCAGCGAUACCAUGUUGUAAAUAAUCCUCUUCCUGGUGCUAAGCUUUUAAUGAAGCAGUGAAGAAAAUAAGAUGCAAAUCCCAAUCAGAUGAGGCCUUGUUGCAUAGUGUAUCAGAAAACAGCUGAGAACUCAAACAGCAGCUGCUUUUUCUUUUUCAGGAAACUUUCUAUAAUAAUACCAAUAAAACCCAAGACUAUUAUUCUGAACAGAAACAAGAAAUACAGCUGGAGCCAUUUCCUAUCCACCUGAUGAAGGGCACUACCAGGCACUCACUCUGGCUCUGUCCACCGAUGCCUGUGCCCACUUUGUGUGACGUAGCUUCCAUGGAGACAAGAGCAAUGGUAAUGGAAGAAGAAAGUCUGGAUGUACUCGUGCAGAAAGAGAAAGCUUCAUGGAACAAUAUUAAUCUUCUGGUCAUCUCUGCGCCCAUAAAGUUGUCAGAUUGACUUUGGAUUUAAAGCCUGAAAAUGAGUCCCAAGGAAGUCCAUUGACAUGAGGCCCAAGGAAGACAGUUUUUGGAAGGGGCAAGACAGGAAGGAUGGUUUGGUCACUGUGAGGAAGAGGAGGGUAGAAAAGCCUCAGGACAUCAGAAUCUUUAGGAAGUGGCUACUGACAAUCAAGCAGAGUUUUCUCCCUGUGGGUCUCUAUCCAUUUAGUGGCUUUUUGUGCUAAGCAGCUCAGUGACUGCCUUCUGCUCCAGAUGUGACCUUCAGUCUCUGUUGCUCCUUUCUGCUGGCAAUGCUCAGUGUAAUUUCAGCCACAAAGGAAAGGAGGUGAAGUGAACAUCAGUGGGAGCCUAAAAAGUUAAACAACGGAUGUGUUUUCCCAGUGUAGAGAAAAGCUUGCUUCUCCAUCCCCAGGACUUUGUGCCCUGCUCACCUGGAAGAGAGAAGAGGGUUAGCCCCUUGACAAUGGAAAGGAAUAAGGGAGAAAAAACAGAUGAAGGAGAGUAUGAAGAAGUAGAGUGGCACUUUAUAUACCCCAUCUCCAAGCGUCACAGACAGCUUGCAAGGAGGAAAACGGACACAUUAGAAGACCAUGUUGAAAGUCUGCCAAUGUUACCGUCUGCUUGCUGAUAAUGAUUUUUCUUCUUCCCUGCCUGGAGGGAAGGUUGAAUUCCUGUGCAACACGGAUUGCUGGCAGUGAUGCAUUCCAGAGGGUACCACCUAAAGUUUUGAGGCAUGUAGCCUUGCCCACAAAGACAGGGACUUGGAGAGGAAAGAUGCAUAACCAGUGAAAACAAAGGUAGUAGUGCUCAGCUGUAAUCUUUUAGAAGUGACAGUAUUAUAUUUAUAUUAGAAUUUUAAUUGAAGAAAACCAAUGGAAACUAUAAAUUAUAAUACAAU